GGGGUAACAACAGGGCGUGAGAACUACUGUAAAAACAGGUAGUCCUCAGUGGGUGCCGCCCUAAACAACAUCGGUCCACCCACUAAGUCUACAGAAGGGAGCCAGGAUAGUAGUAAAUGCAGGAAUGAAAUCUACCGCUAUGAAUCACUACACUAUCAUGCUCUACACUAACCAACUGUAGGAAAUGUCAAAUCUGACCCAAUCCAAUCGGGACUGUAAGCAUACCCGUCCCUGGGACUGUGAACACACCCGUCCCUGCCCAGUUGUGACAAUCAGCUACCUCCACACUACUGGUCCGUGGAGAGCAAGUCCAACCGGCAUGAGCGACACCAACGCAAAAGCACUAAGCCCGCCUCCGGAGUGGCACUCGUGGGAGCUACCCAACCGAGUAUGCAGCGUGUCUCUGUCGAGCUCAAACAGGCUCUAACAAGCCAAAGUCAAGUAACCGACUCAUACUGGUCUAACAACCAACUAGUAACGUGCCCUCGGCACAAUCUGACGCCAAAACGGCGAACCGGGUCCACCGUCAACCCCGACGGCACCCAACAGUCUGGAACAGCCUGAACGCUACUAUAAAAAUACACUCGGCAUCCCAGCACGAGUGUAACUGAAAUCUAAACUACCUGGAAUACUCACUAUGAUGAUACUGAAACCGUAUAAAAUCAUACCACGGUCCCUAGGGCUAAAUCAGGUAGUUAACAUAUGCCGAUCGUUAUCGCGUUUUCUCCUAAGUCAAAUCCAAGUCCAACAUGUAUAUUCAUAUUUAUUAAUCAUGUUCUUAAAUCGUAUUUAUCCAAGAUAUAAUCAAUGAGAUAGAGCUACACAUGAUUUAUACAACUACAAAUCAUACAUGUCGACUAAUGCUAUACUUAGGAAUAAACCGAUGUAACCCACCUAGCUCGCUAAUCCCUGGCAGCACGGAACUGCCCUCGGCUGCGGAACAACCUGCCGAAACGUCCGAAAACCUCCCAAGGCCCGAAGUCAAGCUCCCGCCAAACUCUACACGGAGAAUCCGACAAUAAGCAUUAUUUCUGCCUCAAAAACAGCAACAGAGAAGAGCGAAAUUCCGACCUAGCAAACCUUUAUCAAAUCCAGCAAGUAAGGACUUCGUGGAUUCCUCUCGAAGUCCCGAAUCCAACAAACCAAGUCCCGUCGAAAACCGACGCUCCUACGCCGAGUACGAACUGAAAUACCGACGGUCGACGCUGGAAAUUCUGCAAAUCAGCACCAAGCUCGAAUGGAUAAUACUUGAAGCAGUGCAACGGAACACUCACCUCAAAGGCUAAUCGGACAUCGACGCGGCGUCGAGAACGACGAAAACGCAUCCUCGCCUAGUUUCCUCGCAACGCUACGAUCCCAACCGUACCCUCGAACGGCUUCGCGGCGCGUCGUCGGCGUCGAACUCG
Molecule: long non-coding RNA, 1406 nt
Filed under: Ananas comosus (pineapple)
Lineage: Eukaryota; Viridiplantae; Streptophyta; Magnoliopsida; Poales; Bromeliaceae
Description: long non-coding RNA (ACOM_LNC001182)
Source: RNAcentral